Molecule: unclassified non-coding RNA, 6380 nt
Filed under: Hevea brasiliensis (rubber tree)
Lineage: Eukaryota; Viridiplantae; Streptophyta; Magnoliopsida; Malpighiales; Euphorbiaceae
Source: RNAcentral
AUGAGCUAAGCAUCAAAUGUUUAAUUAGAAUCUUCAGAUUCGACAAAAUGCAAGCAGGAAAGGAGUAGGAAAAAAAGCAAGCAAAAACAAGAAAAUUGAUACAUUUGGAUGGCCAUUCCCCUUCAUUUUUACAUCAUUAAUUUUCUAAAUAGUACAAGAAAAGCCCUUGGGAUCAAAAUUAGGGCUCAGUUCACAACAUAUCUUGAGUUCUUGACAUUAAUGUCCAUUUGCAUCCAUUUCUUCUAACAUUAUCCAUACUGCUAAUUAGCACUCGGGCAAUUUCUGAAACUUCAUAUCAAUGCAAUGGCCUCUAAGUUAGCCACACCUCAAUGUUAUGCUCAAUUAGCUUGACAUAAUUUACGCAGCCUUUCUUUCAUUUUGCUUGUGAAAGAACAUGGAAUAAAUUCACUGAUAUCUUUGGACUGUACAAGGCCAAUUAACUGAUUCCCAUUUUGUUGCAAGUUGAAACUGGAAACUUAGGACCAAUAUCAAGCCAGAGUAUUCUCAACAUAUUCCAUUGCCUUUUGUUUCACAGAGUCGAUUUGUUCCUCAUCACCAAGAGACUUCUCAUACUCGAGAUAUUUCUUGAAUAAGAACUUCAUCUUUUUAGGUGGGAGGCUCAGACUAAUGGCCCUCUCAAAUAGAGAGCGAGUUACAUCCACAUCUCCGAGUCUAAUCUCCUGAUCAAGAUAAACACUCCACAAAUCUGUUCUCUUUGGGUACUCCCGCAAAAUUCCUUCAAACAUGGAUCGCCCUCUAUCAGGAACCCCGCAUUUGAACUCAAGGAUAGCUGAUUGUGAGAUGAAUUUGAUAUGCCUAUGACGGGGAAGGCAUAACAGGGCACGCUGAAUAACAGACUGAACCCCAUCUUGCUCUUGCUUCAAAAGUCUCUGUACCCGUCUCAGCCAAAUCUUGCAUGAGUGCUUGAACUUCUUGACCAUUCUUUCAAGAAGCUCAUCAGCCAAACUAUGCUGCUCAGUCCUUUCAUAUACUCCCAAAAGUGCUAGAUGUACUUUCUUAGGGUCACAAUACUGCAGAGCUCUUUGAAAUACUUUUUUAACAGCUUCCUCUGGAGGAUUUCCAUAUUCAUUUUCCAAAUUGAAGUAGGCAACCCAGAUGUUUAGCUUCUCAUUUUCUUCACGAAUAUUUAUUGUUCUCAGAGCCCUUUCGGCAAUCAAGCGAGCUUUCUCAACAUCAGCCAAAUUAAGCAUGAAAGCCAUGUAUUUUAUCCAAACAAAACUGCUAUUAGGAGAACUUCGAACCAGUUUCUCAAAUUCAUCAGCAGUUCUUGGUAUAUCCUUUUCCAGCAGUCUUUCUUCAGCAGCUCUAAUUUCUUGCUCCCUCUCUUCCUUUGCCUUCUUUUCCCUUCUCUUCUUCUCACCUACGAUCUUUGCCUCACCAGUAUGUUCUUUAUUUUUGUCAAUCACAUCAUCCACAUCAGAGUGCUCCAUGUCAUCAAGGGUGACAUCAAGUGGAGGAAUGUAAGCCCUUGAUUCUGCUUGUGCAAGAACUGGACAUUCUUCAUUUUCAGAUUCAAUAUCCAUAUCUUGGAUCCCAACUGAACUGCUCGCAUGUGGUUUAGAACCACUGUCAUCAAUAGUACCAUUUUCACUAAUGGUAUCAUCAGAUUCUGCUUUUGAAUGCAGAAUGUUAAUAUCAUUUCCAAGAUCCAAAUUUUUAAUGCCAAGAGAGAUUCGACGUCUUUCCUCAUCCACCUUCAAAAUCCUUGCAGUAACCAUCUCCCCCACUCCAUAUUUAGUUUCAAUAUUGUCAACACAACCAUCUGGAAGCUCUGACACAUGACAUAAUCCAACCAAGUUUGUGUGGUCAAUUGUGAUAAACAGACCAUAUGAUUCCACCCGUUUAAUCCGGCCAGAAAUUAUGUCUCCAACAUGUAGAGAACUCAAAUUAUUAGUUUCAGAUUCUGCGGCACUGCUUGCACUCAAUUUCUUCAAGGUAACUUCAACUCGGUUGGACAAAGGCUCCACAGAUAAUACCCUGCCAAUUACAAGUUUCCCUAUAGGGAAUUCUUUUUCAGGAUUGUCAAUAUACUCAUCCGAUAAGUUUGAGAUGAGAAUUUUGGCAUCAAUCUUCCUUGAAAGCAUAAUGAAACACCCUUUUGAUGUCACAUUCUUAACAUAACCCUGUACAACUGUAUCAGGGUGAAGAUCCUCAAUCUUUUCCACACGCUUUGUUUGAGCAUCCGCAUUCUUUGAGAGCUCAGCCGAAUUCUGACUAAGCAUGCCAUCUAAAGAGAAACAUAGUGACAGAUCAAUGUGAACAGUGCCCCUGACAGAUUGACUGAUCUCCAAGACCUUGCAUUUGACAAAUUUGCCUUCAUGAUAUCCAGACAAUGGGUCAGGCACCCAUGUGUCCUGAAGUUCAGUAAAAUGAACUCUACCAUGUAAGUGGGGACCAAUCUGCACAAAUAAUCCACCAACAUUGGGAAGUAUUUUGGAAAUUCUGCCACCUACAAUAUCUCCUUCUUGAAUAUGAGAAGUAACAUUGAAAUGUUGAACACCAUUUUGUGCAUCAUCCAUGUUUAGAACUUUGCCAUCAACAUGUCUACUAGAUAAAGCACAUAGUGGACGCAGCACCAGACGUAACAAUGUACUAUCUUUUUUGUGACUUAGAACAUGGCCUCUAACAGCUUUUCCCACAAAAAACCGUUUCUGGAAUUCUUGAAGUUCACUCGGUUCAUGUGCACUGUCAAGUACAAAAAGCUGUGCAUUUACAUGUCGAGAUAUAGUUAACCAGGCCCAUUCAUCGUCCACUUUAUACACAUAACCAGCGACACAUUGUCCAGAUGAAAAUUCACACUUGGACAUUUUAUCGCCCGACUCACAGAAAUCUGUAAGAAUUUUUGGUUUAAUAGAUAGCUCCCAGAGCUUCAUUUUUUUAUUAUCUCCUUUACUAGCUUUAGCAACAAUCCUUGCAGUAACUGUUUGACCGAUUCUGAAGUUAGCAAAUGGAUCAUCCAAAAUAGAAUCAUCAUUAACCUCAGUUAUAUGAAUCCUCCCACGGAAACCAAUACCAAAUUUCAAUCUCAUUUCAAGAGGCUUUUUUUCAGUAAUCUCUGCUUGAACGAGGGAUCCCACAUUAUAGCAAGACUUCUUUUUUUGCCUUCUUUGAACUGGAUGUCUCAGUUGGGUCACUAAUUGAUUUCAGAAGCAAAAGCAACCUCCCUGCAGUUGAAGGGCUUGGGAGUGCCAUAACAGUUGCAAUCACACUCUGUCCAUUAAAAAAUUGUUUCUGUGGAAGCUUCUGUAUGUUGUAGUCUGAUACCGAUGCAUAUCCUAUAGCAUAGUUAUGCUCAGGAAUUGAAAGAACCAAGUAGUUUUCUUUCACAAUCUCCACAACAGCAUUUACUGUCUGGUGUACCUCCAAGCUCUUAGACACUUCUCUUUUCCGUUUCUUUUUUUUAGUCUGGCUGUUAGAACUUUUAACCCUCGAUUUAUCAAGAAACUCUGGCUUUAGAGAUAAAUCAACAAGGUGUUCAGUCUUGGCAACAUCAAGAACCGCGGCUUGAACAGUAGAGCCUAUUUCCACUUUUGUUCCGCCUAAUUGAUAAAGUGUAAUAAAACCAAGGACAUCAUUAUAGUUAUCAAAGCUGACGACAAUUCCAACUUCCUUAGACUCCUGAACUUUUGUCUCAAUGACACUACCAAUUUUAAAUCCUUCAACCCACUUUAAAUCAGGCCCUUUGGAGUCUGAAUAUUGUAGCUCAGCAAUCUUCUCCUCUAGUUGAAAAUAUCCUUGAAGAAAGGAUGCAUCUGUAGAUGAACAGCCUGAUUGCUUCAGAGACACUGUUAUUCUAUUUUUUUCACUAUUUACAUCAAUUAUGUUGCUACGAAUGGAUUGUCCAAGAUAAAAGGCUUCUGCAAGCUGAGCUCUUUGGUCAUCCAUUGCCUUGCUUCGAGGGGAGAAACCAGUCAAGCGACCAAGAAAUCGAACAAAACAGCCAGUUUCAAUUAAGUUACAAAUGUACCCAUGGACUAUUGACUGAGGAUGAAUCUGACUAAGAUCUGAAGGAAGAUGCUGAGCGGACUUGACAAGAGAAUAUUUCGCAGAAAGAAUCAAAUUGUUGCUCUCGAUAUCUAGGACCAGAAGCUGAUCAAACUCAUAUCCAGGCUUCAAGACUGACUUCAACAAAGAAGCUUGGUCAUGGUGAUCAGCCAAAUGUUCGGUCGAUAUUGUACCCUUCAUGUAACCUUUGGCAUUAAUAUAUACUACUACACCAAAAGGGGCUACUUUCUCAACAACUCCUGCAACAACACUACCCAACUUCACAGCUUCUUCAGAUACCCUUGUAGGCUUCAUCAUGAAACUAAGGUUGAUCCUGUGUGAAGCAGGAAUAGAACUCAAUACUCUGCAUUUGACAACUUGUCCAGCAUGAUACACAGAACCUGCAUCAUCUCCUGGUUCUAGUCCAAGCUCUGAUCUGGGAGCAAAUCCCUGGACUCCAUUAUAAAAAUGGACAAAGCAGCCAUGCUUUUCAAUCUUUGUUAUCCAGCCAUGUGUUAUUAGCCCAUCUGUUACAUCAACGUAUGAGCUAAGAAUUGCAAGUUUUGAUUUGACAAGAGUUUUCUUGUGAGUUACAGUAAUUCUCUUGGACUUGCAACCAAGCACCCGGAACACCAGUUCAGCUCCAACCUUAAAUUUUUUUCUAGGCUUUGCAAUUUCAAAUUCAGACAUAUGGCGAAGAGGACAGAGUGCCUUCACCCCACCAGGAAAUUGCACAAUGGCACCAAAGCUGUCCACGGCUAAGAUUUUGGCCCGCACUAUCAUCCCAGGCUUAACAUCUGAGUGGGUGAAUACAGUGCCUUCAAAAGCACUUGCCUUCAAAAUCCCUGUAGCAAGACCUUCCAAAUGCUUAUAUCCAAGAAUUCGAACACGAAUUUUACUUCCUUCCUUAAACUUUUUCUCAAGCUUGCCAACUUCAUUUUCAGCCACAUCAGAUAUACUAACAUAAGCUGGUGUUGACACAGGAGUGGAUGGGAUUUCAAGCAGAAGACCCAAGCCUUUAUCUACCCUGACUACUUUUGCGCUGUCAUAAAUAUCUCCAACUUUAACAUGCAUCAGAGGAGUAUUAUUAUGAAUGAGAUGUUGAUUCAGGGUCAAGCCAACUGCUCUAGUUGAGGGAUCAAUAAAUAAUAUCCUAGCAUUGACCUUCUUAUUAUUGUUGUAAUCAUCUUUCCAGUUUGAAGUAGGAAAAGCAUUUUGCAAAUGAAGCACAUCAACAGUUCCAGUAAAAUAGGUAAGGAAUGAUAACAUAAUCCCAUUUUCUAGGGUUGACUGUACGCGGGCAUUAACCAUCAUGCCUGGAACCAGAAGAUCAAUUGAAAUUCCCUUAAGAUCCUUCAUCACACAUUUUGACAAGGCAUCUGGUUCAGAACUUAGAUAAACAACUUUACGAGUUUUAUCAAUGCUUCUAACAAUUCCUUGCAGCAGUUGCCCAACUUUCAUUUCAGCAUGCCUGCUUUCAGCUUGGCUAUUCUUUGGCAAAAACCCCAUAAAAGAAGGCAAUCCAAAAUGAAGAAUGUAGCCAUGGUCUUCAAUGCUCUUCACAUAGGCAGUUAGGACCAUCCCUUCCUGAAUGGCAUCUAAUGAGAAGCCUUUGUGCAACAAUGAAAGGUGCAAAGAAAGCCAGAUUUUUCUUUUCCCAUUAUCUUUCUUAUCAUCAUCCAAUUGCAACACAGUGCAUGAAACCAACUGCCCAACAUGGAAUAUGCUUGGAAGGUUGCCUUCGAUAUCCUCAGUUCCAUCACCCAAAACAGGAUCAAGUGCAUCUAUGGAACGUACUAAACCACGCAAGCCCCAAGGUAGACUAAUCACAAGGUCCUUCUCAUUUACUUCAGCAACAACACCCCAAAGCUUCAUUCCAGGAGAAAUAUUCUUCAAGGUGAUCUUAUUCGCAAAUCGAGGUAGAUUGCCAGUUAAGCCAUCACCAAAAAGCGAACCCAACUCAUCAGGCUCAGAAUGACUCUUGUUUUGCAAUUUCUUCCCCUUCUUCCUUUUCAUCAAAACCCUCUCCUCAGCCUCGAAUUCUGCAUCAACUUCUGCACGGAUUUCCUCACGUUCUCUUUUACUCAGUGAGCUUCCUCCACCUCUAGGAAAGUCAGGAACAUCAUCUUCCAGCUGCAAGGCUAAGGCUUCAGGUGGAACGACGUCGUUUGAGUCCUUCUUCUUAGAUUUGAAAGACUUCUUCGACUCCUUAUUAAAUUUUGAGCCACCUUCCAUCUUCCUAUUCUGAGAUUUCUUCUUUAAAGAAGGAGCAGCCAUUUUCUGUUAGAUUAAGAAACUCGAAACCCUAGCGAAGCUUGCCCCUGCGUUUUCAGGUUAAUAUCAAUACAACAAGCUGGCUCUCCCCGCGUUUCUUU